CGCAGCCGCGGUAAUUCCAGCUCCAAUAGCGUAUAUUAAAGUUGUUGCAGUUAAAAAGCUCGUAGUUGAAUUUCGGGGUUAGCAGGUCGGUCGUGCCAUCGGUAUGAACUGGUCUCGCUGAUCCCUCCCUCUUGACGAACUGUGAUGCCAUUAAUUUGGUGUCGCAGGGAAUCAGGACUGUUACUUUGAAAAAAUUAGAGUGUUUAAAGCAGGCUCACGCUUGAAUACAUUAGCAUGGAAUAAUGAAAUAGGACGUUUGAUCCUAUUUUGUUGGUUUCUAGGAUUGACGUAAUGAUUAAUAGGGAUAGUUGGGGGCAUUAGUAUUCAAUUGUCAGAGGUGAAAUUCUUGGAUUUAUUGAAGACUAACUACUGCGAAAGCAUUUGCCAAGGAUGUUUUCAUUAAUCAAGAACGAAAGUUAAGGGGACCGAAGACGAUCAGAUACCGUCGUAGUCUUAACCAUAAACUAUAGCCGACUACGGGAAUCGGAAUGAGUGUUAAUUAUUUUAAUUGUACUCAUUC
Molecule: ribosomal RNA, 520 nt
Filed under: uncultured Glomus
Lineage: Eukaryota; Fungi; Glomeromycota; Glomeromycetes; Glomerales; Glomeraceae
Description: SSU rRNA
Rfam family: Eukaryotic small subunit ribosomal RNA
Source: RNAcentral